UGCCCCGAGAUGAGUUCUCCCUGAGACUUAGAGUCUCCUGAAGGAACGUUGAAGACGACGACGUUGAUAGGCCGGGUGUGUAAGCGCAGCGAUGCGUUGAGCUAACCGGUACUAAUGAACCGUGAGGCUUAACCUUACAACGCCGAAGCUGUU
This 153-nucleotide ribosomal RNA is filed under the name Escherichia coli. RNAcentral's name for it is "partial 23S ribosomal RNA". The stretch from base 1 to 136 matches the Rfam family "Bacterial large subunit ribosomal RNA", at positions 2795 to 2925 of the family's 2925-position model. Lineage: Bacteria; Pseudomonadati; Pseudomonadota; Gammaproteobacteria; Enterobacterales; Enterobacteriaceae. The record is from RNAcentral.